RNAcentral lists this ribosomal RNA (624 nucleotides) under uncultured bacterium. RNAcentral's name for it is "bacterial SSU rRNA". It matches the Rfam family "Bacterial small subunit ribosomal RNA", at positions 64 to 736 of the family's 1533-position model. The record is from RNAcentral.
GAGCGCGCCUUCGGGUGAGCGGCGGACGGGUUAGUAACGCGUGGGAACGUGCCCUUCUCUACGGAAUAGCCUCUGGAAACGGAGAGUAAUACCGUAUACGCCCUUUGGGGGAAAGAUUUAUCGGAGAAGGAUCGGCCCGCGUUAGAUUAGGUAGUUGGUGGGGUGACGGCCUACCAAGCCUACGAUCUAUAGCUGGUUUUAGAGGAUGAUCAGCAACACUGGGACUGAGACACGGCCCAGACUCCUACGGGAGGCAGCAGUGGGGAAUCUUAGACAAUGGGGGCAACCCUGAUCUAGCCAUGCCGCGUGAGUGAUGAAGGCCUUAGGGUCGUAAAGCUCUUUCGCCUGUGAUGAUAAUGACAGUAGCAGGUAAAGAAACCCCGGCUAACUCCGUGCCAGCAGCCGCGGUAAUACGGAGGGGGUUAGCGUUGUUCGGAAUUACUGGGCGUAAAGCGCGCGUAGGCGGAUUAGAAAGUUGGGGGUGAAAUCCCGGGGCUCAACCCCGGAACUGCCUCCAAAACUGCUAGUCUAGAGUUCGAGAGAGGUGAGUGGAAUUCCGAGUGUAGAGGUGAAAUUCGUAGAUAUUCGGAGGAACACCAGUGGCGAAGGCGGCUCACUGGCUCG